Molecule: ribosomal RNA, 538 nt
Filed under: uncultured bacterium
Lineage: Bacteria
Description: bacterial SSU rRNA
Rfam family: Bacterial small subunit ribosomal RNA
Source: RNAcentral
UAAGGAAUAUUGGUCAAUGGAGGCAACCCUGAACCAGCCAUGCCGCGUGCAGGAUGAAGGUCCUCUGGAUUGUAAACUGCUUUUAUCAGGGAAGAAAUCACCUAUUUCUAUGGGUGUUGCCGGUACCUGAGGAAUAAGCACCGGCUAACUCCGUGCCAGCAGCCGCGGUAAUACGGAGGGUGCAAGCGUUAUCCGGAUUUACUGGGUUUAAAGGGUGCGUAGGCGGAUUUUUAAGUCAGUGGUGAAAACUUUGAGCUUAACUCGAAAACUGCCAUUGAUACUAUUAAUCUUGAAUUUAGUUGAGGUUGGCGGAAUGUGUCGUGUAGCGGUGAAAUGCUUAGAUAUGACACAGGACACCGAUUGCGAAGGCAGCUGGCUAAACUAAAAUUGACGCUGAGGCACGAAAGUGUGGGGAUCAAACAGGAUUAGAAACCCUGGUAGUCCACACCCUAAACGAUGAUUACUCGAUGUUGGCGAUACACUGCCAGCGUCUAAGCAAAAGCAUUAAGUAAUCCACCUGGGGAAUACGAUCGCAAGA